CAGUAGCCGCGGUAACACGAAGGGUGCAAGCGUUAAUCGGAAUUACUGGGCGUAAAGCGUGCGUAGGCGGUGAGUUAAGUCUGCUGUGAAAUCCCCGGGCUCAACCUGGGAAUGGCAGUGGAUACUGGCUCGCUAGAGUGUGUCAGAGGAUGGUGGAAUUCCCGGUGUAGCGGUGAAAUGCGUAGAGAUCGGGAGGAACAUCAGUGGCGAAGGCGGCCAUCUGGGACAACACUGACGCUGAGGCACGAAAGCGUGGGGAGCAAACAGGAUUAGAUACCCGGGUAGUCCCUGUCUCUUAUAC
Molecule: ribosomal RNA, 301 nt
Filed under: uncultured bacterium
Lineage: Bacteria
Description: partial 16S ribosomal RNA
Rfam family: Bacterial small subunit ribosomal RNA
Source: RNAcentral